RNAcentral lists this ribosomal RNA (727 nucleotides) under Paenibacillus dendritiformis. Its description in RNAcentral is "bacterial SSU rRNA". It matches the Rfam family "Bacterial small subunit ribosomal RNA", at positions 74 to 785 of the family's 1533-position model. Lineage: Bacteria; Bacillati; Bacillota; Bacilli; Caryophanales; Paenibacillaceae. The record is from RNAcentral.
GAGUGCUUGCACUCCUGAUGCUUAGCGGCGGACGGGUGAGUAAUACGUAGGUAACCUGCCCUUAAGACCGGGAUAACUCACGGAAACGUGGGCUAAUACCGGAUAGGCGAUUUCCUCGCAUGAGGGAAUCGGGAAAGGCGGAGCAAUCUGCCACUUAUGGAUGGACCUACGGCGCAUUAGCUAGUUGGUGGGGUAACGGCUCACCAAGGCGACGAUGCGUAACCGACCUGAGAGGGUGAUCGGCCACACUGGGACUGAGACACGGCCCACACUCCUACGGGAGGCAGCAGUAGGGAAUCUUCCGCAAUGGACGCAAGUCUGACGGAGCAACGCCGCGUGAGUGAUGAAGGUUUUCGGAUCGUAAAGCUCUGUUGCCAGGGAAGAACGCUAUGGAGAGUAACUGUUCCAUAGGUGACGGUACCUGAGAAGAAAGCCCCGGCUAACUACGUGCCAGCAGCCGCGGUAAUACGUAGGGGGCAAGCGUUGUCCGGAAUUAUUGGGCGUAAAGCGCGCGCAGGCGGUCAUGUAAGUCUGGUGUUUAAACCCGGGGCUCAACUCCGGGUCGCAUCGGAAACUGUGUGACUUGUGUGCAGAAGAGGAAAGUGGAAUUCCACGUGUAGCGGUGAAAUGCGUAGAGAUGUGGAGGAACACCAGUGGCGAAGGCGACUUUCUGGGCUGUAACUGACGCUGAGGCGCGAAAGCGUGGGGAGCAAACAGGAUUAUAUAC